This 72-nucleotide transfer RNA is filed under the name Camelus bactrianus (Bactrian camel). It matches the Rfam family "tRNA". Rfam says of the family: Transfer RNA (tRNA) molecules are approximately 80 nucleotides in length. Their secondary structure includes four short double-helical elements and three loops (D, anti-codon, and T loops). Further hydrogen bonds mediate the characteristic L-shaped molecular structure. tRNAs have two regions of fundamental functional importance: the anti-codon, which is responsible for specific mRNA codon recognition, and the 3' end, to which the tRNAs corresponding amino acid is attached (by aminoacyl-tRNA synthetases). tRNAs cope with the degeneracy of the genetic code in two manners: having more than one tRNA (with a specific anti-codon) for a particular amino acid; and 'wobble' base-pairing, i.e. permitting non-standard base-pairing at the 3rd anti-codon position. RNAcentral also lists the same sequence under 2 other names. The record is from Rfam by way of RNAcentral. Lineage: Eukaryota; Metazoa; Chordata; Mammalia; Artiodactyla; Camelidae.
GCAGGUAUAGCUCAGUGGUAGGGCACAUGCUUAGCAUGCACGAGGUCCUGGGUUCAAUCCCCAGUACCUCCA